UAGGGAAUAUUGGACAAUGGGGGCAACCCUGAUCCAGCCAUGCCGCGUGAGUGAAGAAGGCCCUCGGGUUGUAAAGCUCUUUUGUCCGGAAAGAAAAGCUUCGGGUUAAUACCCCGGGGUUCUGACGGUACCGGAAGAAUAAGCACCGGCUAACUUCGUGCCAGCAGCCGCGGUAAUACGAAGGGUGCAAGCGUUACACGGAAUUACUGGGCGUAAAGCGUGCGUAGGUGGUUGUUUAAGUCUGAUGUGAAAGUCCUGGGCUCAACCUGGGAAUGGCAUUGGAAACAGGGAAGCUAGAGUGCGGUAGAGGGUAGUGGAAGUCCCGGUGGAGCAGUGAAAUGCGUAGAGAUCGGGAGGAACAUCUGUGGCGAAGGCGACUGCCUGGACCAGCACUGACACUGAGGCACGAAAGCGUGGGGAG
Molecule: ribosomal RNA, 421 nt
Filed under: uncultured bacterium
Lineage: Bacteria
Description: bacterial SSU rRNA
Rfam family: Bacterial small subunit ribosomal RNA
Source: RNAcentral